AUACGUAGGGGGCGAGCGUUGUCCGGAAUUAUUGGGCGUAAAGGGUUCGCAGGCGGAAAUAUAAGUCAGGUGUAAAAGGCGGAGGCUCAACCUCCGUAAGCAUUUGAAACUAUAUUUCUUGAGAUAUGGAGAGGUAAGUGGAAUUCCUAGUGUAGCGGUGAAAUGCGUAGAUAUUAGGAGGAAUACCAGUGGCGAAGGCGACUUACUGGACAUAUACUGACGCUGAGGAACGAAAGCAUGGGUAGC
This 246-nucleotide ribosomal RNA is filed under the name uncultured bacterium. Its description in RNAcentral is "partial 16S ribosomal RNA". It matches the Rfam family "Bacterial small subunit ribosomal RNA", at positions 523 to 769 of the family's 1533-position model. The record is from RNAcentral.